This 73-nucleotide transfer RNA is filed under the name Stegodyphus mimosarum. It matches the Rfam family "tRNA". Rfam says of the family: Transfer RNA (tRNA) molecules are approximately 80 nucleotides in length. Their secondary structure includes four short double-helical elements and three loops (D, anti-codon, and T loops). The record is from Rfam by way of RNAcentral. Lineage: Eukaryota; Metazoa; Arthropoda; Arachnida; Araneae; Eresidae.
GCCUUCGUGGUGUAGUGGUCAGUACACUCGACGCGUAUUCGAGAGGUCAGUGGUUCGAGUCCCGGCAAGGGCA